Molecule: microRNA, 23 nt
Filed under: Panagrellus redivivus
Lineage: Eukaryota; Metazoa; Nematoda; Chromadorea; Rhabditida; Panagrolaimidae
Description: prd-miR-7897-5p
Source: miRBase by way of RNAcentral
ACCAGUUUAAACUUCGACUCAUC